RNAcentral lists this ribosomal RNA (253 nucleotides) under uncultured bacterium. Its description in RNAcentral is "partial 16S ribosomal RNA". It matches the Rfam family "Bacterial small subunit ribosomal RNA", at positions 524 to 776 of the family's 1533-position model. The record is from RNAcentral.
UACGUAGGCAGCAAGCGUUGUUCGGAAUUACUGGGCGUAAAGAGUGUGUAGGCGGUGCUCUAAGUUCGGUGUGAAAUCUCCCGGCUCAACUGGGAGGGUGCGCCGGAAACUGGGGUGCUGGAGCGCGGGAGAGGAAAGCGGAAUUCCUGGUGUAGCGGUGAAAUGCGUAGAUAUCAGGAGGAACACCGGCGGUGUAGACGGCUUUCUGGACCGUAGCUGACGCUGAGACACGAAAGCGUGGGGAGCGAACAGG